Molecule: transfer RNA, 79 nt
Filed under: Streptomyces roseolus
Lineage: Bacteria; Bacillati; Actinomycetota; Actinomycetes; Kitasatosporales; Streptomycetaceae
Description: tRNA-Gln
Source: RNAcentral
GGCGCUCCUGGAGCGGCUGGGCUAGGGCCUGUCCGACCUUUGGCGUCGGAUCAGGCCGGGUCGUCCGGUGUGUGCGCCC